RNAcentral lists this Y RNA (102 nucleotides) under Propithecus coquereli (Coquerel's sifaka). Its description in RNAcentral is "Y RNA (ENSPCOG00000007192.1)". It matches the Rfam family "Y RNA". Rfam says of the family: Y RNAs are components of the Ro ribonucleoprotein particle (Ro RNP), in association with Ro60 and La proteins. The Y RNAs and Ro60 and La proteins are well conserved, but the function of the Ro RNP is not known. The record is from Rfam by way of RNAcentral. Lineage: Eukaryota; Metazoa; Chordata; Mammalia; Primates; Indriidae.
GGUUGAUCCAAGUACAGUGGUGCUUACAACUAAUUGAUCACAACCAGUUACAGAUUACUUUGUUUCUUCUCCACUCCCACUGCCCCUCUUGACCAGCCUUUA